UAAUUGAAGAGUUUGAUCAUGGCUCAGAUUGAACGCUGGCGGCAGGCCUAACACAUGCAAGUCGAGCGGUAACAGAG
Molecule: non-coding RNA, 77 nt
Organism: Pseudoalteromonas porphyrae
Lineage: Bacteria; Pseudomonadati; Pseudomonadota; Gammaproteobacteria; Alteromonadales; Pseudoalteromonadaceae
Source: Rfam